RNAcentral lists this non-coding RNA (131 nucleotides) under Pseudomonas saudiphocaensis. RNAcentral's name for it is "rmf". It matches the Rfam family "rmf RNA". Lineage: Bacteria; Pseudomonadati; Pseudomonadota; Gammaproteobacteria; Pseudomonadales; Pseudomonadaceae. The record is from RNAcentral.
UGGGUUAGAACUCGACUCAGUCCGGCCAGCGCAAUGCUGCCGGAAGAACCCCGCCACGCCGGCAGCGGGGGUCGCUGGCAGCCUGGCUGCCACCCGACCUCGCCAUGAGGUCAACAGGAACACCAGUCAAC